UAGACGUGUAGGGUUAACCUUUCUCUCUCCAAGCCCUCUCUCCGAUGCAUCUCUCUCUCCGCCUGCAUCGGUCUCUCUCUCUCCAUCUCUCUUCGAUGCAGCUCUCCCUCCGCCUGCAUCGGUCUCUCUCUCUCCAUCUCCUUCUCCUUCUCCUUCUCCUUCUCCUUCUCCUGGGUCGACUCUGUUGCCAAAAGUCUCUCUCUCUCCCCUCCAUAGACUCGGUUCUUUUGUAGCCGCAGACUCGGAGGUGGUGUCUGUUUGAUUUGCCAUGGAUCUGCCUUUUCAAUCAAAGUUUCGUGACCUGGUUUUGCGGUUAUAGGUCCAAGCAGAUGAUGAUUAAACCUGGUCCGUGACCAUCCAUACUAAGAGGCAGGCUGCCUUCAGUCAAAGCUUCACGACCGUAUUCCCCAGUAUCGACCUGGUUUUGCAGACGCAGACCCGGAAGUGUUGUCCAUUUGAUUCGCCAUGGAUCUGCCUUUUCUAUCAACGUUUCAUGACCUGGUUUUGUGGCUAUGAACAGAUCACUAAAUUCGCUUUAUAGGUCCUAGCAGAGGAUGAUGAAGCCUGGUCCGUGACCAUCCAUACUAAGAGAGCAGGCUGCCUUUUCAGUCAAAGCUUCACGACCGUAUUCCCCAGUAUCGACCUGGUUUUGCAGACGCAGACCCGGAAGUGUUGUCCAUUUGAUUCGCCAUGGAUCUGCCUUUUCUAUCAACGUUUCAUGACCUGGUUUUGCGGCUAUGAACAGAUCACUAAAUUCGCUUUAUAGGUCCUAGCAGAGGAUGAUGAAGCCUGGUCCGUGACCAUCCAUACUAAGAGGCAGGCUGCCUUUUCAGUCAAAGCUUCACGACCGUAUUCCCCAGUAUCGACCUGGUUUUGCAGGUAUGAACAAGUUUCGCUUUUAUACAUCUUCGCAAGCUCAGAUCUGGUCAAGCUGGAAUUUUUAGACGCAGAUAUAGACGCAGGCCUGGAAGCGGUGUCUAUUUGAGUUGCCAUGGAUCUGCCUUUUCAAUCAAAGUUUCAUGAUCUGGUAUUGCGGACCAACAAAAGAGCAGAUCUAAAGGGCAUAUAAGGACUCUGAAAUAUACCAGAAGGACGACCAGCACGUCUCAAUAUAAUCUCCGGUGGUGCAUAACCUUCAGUCAUAAAUGUCGGGUUGCUUGAUUCUUUGACCACUGAGCCAAAGUCAGUAAGUCUUGCAUUGUUAUCCUAUGAACAUACAAGUUAUUAUUUAAGUAUAUAUGCUAAUGUCAAUAACCAGCUGAAUUUGAAAUUUUCUCAUGAGUGAAAUCGAGUACCUGAUCAAGAAGAAUAUUUUCUGGUUUCAAAUCUACUAUGACUAGCAGAUUUUGGUGCACCUUAAUUAUAGCUGAUGCAACCUGUGUACAUAUUUUCACGGUGUCUUGCCAAUUCAAAUCUGUUAUAAAGGCAGACUGCAUAUUAAUAAAAUUAUAUAUAUGUGAUGAUAGGAAAAAAGCAAACAUGUCACCUUUUAGUUCUUUUGAGAGUACUUUUGGCAUGUACUCUAGCACGAGGCAUAAACAAUCUCGGCUUGAUGGGUUGGUGCAGCCGAAGUAGUUAAUGAUGUUUUCGUGCAAAAUGGUCGAAAGAAAUUUUUCCUCUACCUGCAAGAUUUCAGUUUAGAAAAUAAACUCAUUGUAUUCCAAGAAAAAUGUUGUUUCAAUGUUCAAUUUACCUCCCAGCAGGUUUUUUGCAUAUGUCCACUAUUAUACUUCUUAAUCGCAAUGAUACGGUCAUCCAAUAUUGCACGAUAUACUUUGCUGGUGCUUCCCUCAGCAAUUGGAUGUCUGAAAUUGUUCGUGCAGUCUUUCAACUCCACCUCAGUGAAUUGUCUUGGGACAAUGAACCUAUCCAAUAGGAUUCAAUAGGAUGCAAUUAGAACACUUACUCAUUUCUACCUCCUUCCCCUCUCUUUUGACUAGAUGUAUUUUCACUGAAAAGAUAAAUGCAGUUGGCGAACAUGGGAAAUCCAUGCUAAGAGAAUGACCAUUAAGGAAGGUGCCAAUAGAAAGGUUGCUGCGACCAACAUGAACCGUGCAAGCAGUCGUUCUCAUAGUGUCUUUACAUGUGCCAUUGAAAACCAAGGCAGUGAACUUGGUUUGCGCAAGAAUAGGGUGAGAGCUUGAAGCAAGUGGACAGAUAGGUUGUUUUCGACAAAUCCCCUGCUUGAGAAGCUGUUCGGAGUUAGGAGGAGGAAUGCGAUGUUCUGUUUUCAGGUUUGACAUGACAUUUUCAAAAGAAGUAGUCAAGCAAGUAACUGAUUUCCCAUUAGUAAGGAGUAGGUGGGAAGAUUCACUAAGUCAAUUCGAUAGCUCCUAUAGUCCAAAAGGUAAGCAAGGUAAGAAAGUAAAUGGUUAGCUCUCACAGUACACAAGGUGAAUGAAAGCCUUCCCUUCGUCCUGGGGGAGUUUACACAACCGAAUCUGCUGUUAGAUAUAAUAGUUAUAGAAGGAGCUAUUAAGGUGUUUGCGUAGAAGAAGGGGCAAGCUGAGAAUAAGGGAUCGAACUCUCAGUCUCAGGUUUGGCAUUAAGCAUGGUGAAUUCUUUUAUUAAGUACGCAUAGGAAAUGCAAGCUGUCCUUCCUAAGAGCAAUGAGUUCGGAGUAGUAAGUAGGUUUCAAACCUGCUUGCCCCAGAACCUGCUUUUUAACUUGCUUAAGGGACAAGGACUUACACUCUCUCAAA
Long non-coding RNA from Eucalyptus grandis, 2702 nucleotides. RefSeq lists it as uncharacterized. The transcript is spliced from 7 exons. The record is from RefSeq and is a predicted model, not a curated record. NCBI's taxonomy places the organism in Eukaryota, Viridiplantae, Streptophyta, Magnoliopsida, Myrtales, Myrtaceae.